CUGCCGCUGCCAAAGCGGAGGAAGGAACGGGCAACGGUAGGUCAUUAUGCCCCAAAUGAGCCGGGUUACACCCGGGCUACAAGGGCGGGGCCAAUGGGAUGCCACCCCAAAAGGGGGCGCUAAUCUCCAAAACCUGGUCGUAUUUCGAAUUGAGGGCUGAAACUCCCCCUCAUGAACCUGGAUUCGGUAUUAAUCGCUUUUCAAAAGAGUGCGGUAAAUACUUCCCUGCUCCUUGCACAAC
Molecule: ribosomal RNA, 241 nt
Filed under: uncultured haloarchaeon
Lineage: Archaea; Methanobacteriati; Methanobacteriota; Halobacteria; Halobacteriales; Halobacteriaceae
Description: partial 16S ribosomal RNA
Rfam family: Archaeal small subunit ribosomal RNA
Source: RNAcentral